Molecule: long non-coding RNA, 390 nt
Organism: Gastrolobium bilobum
Lineage: Eukaryota; Viridiplantae; Streptophyta; Magnoliopsida; Fabales; Fabaceae
Exons: 3
Source: RefSeq, a predicted model, not a curated record
GUGUGUUCACCUUGAAUUGGGAAGAAGAGAAGAAGCAUGAAGAUCCAUCACAUUCCUAGCCUCCAAGACGAUUAUUCCUAUUUAUAAUAUUCUAAUUUUGCAUUUCCUAGUUUCGAUUUUGGGCAAUAUCUGAAUCUGGGUUAUUUGCAGGAUCGUGGACUGAGACUACAAAAGAAGUUGCAACAGUGGGUUAUUUGAAUGGGGUUGGAAUAUCAUCUGGAGCUGCAGCAUCAUCUGCCAUUAAGAUAGCAAAAAGACCAGAAAUUUUGGAAAGCUUAUUGUAUUGGAUCUUGUCAGCUAACUCAGCAAGCAGACUUUAUGAAAUAGCAAGCAAACAUGAUGAAACAAAUGCAGGAACAACUCCGAAUUUUAAUGCAGGACAAGGAAGCC